AUGAACGCUAGCGACAGGCUUAACACAUGCAAGUCGAGGGGUAACAGGGUAGCAAUACCGCUGACGACCGGCGCACGGGUGAGUAACGCGUAUGCAACCUGCCUAUAACUGGGGAAUAGCUCCCUGAAAGGGGAAUUAACACCGCAUAACACUAUUGAUUCGCAUGGAUUAGUAGUUAAAUGUAGCGAUACAGGUUAUAGAUGGGCAUGCGUGACAUUAGCUAGUUGGUGAGGUAACGGCUCACCAAGGCUACGAUGUCUAGGGGUUCUGAGAGGAAGGUCCCCCCACACUGGUACUGAGACACGGACCAGACUCCUACGGGAGGCAGCAGUGAGGAAUAUUGGUCAAUGGGCGCAAGCCUGAACCAGCCAUGUCGCGUGCAGGAAGAACCUGCCCUAUGGGUUGUAAACUGCUUUUAUAGUAGAAGAAACACAUCUACGUGUAGAUGUCUGCCAGUAUACUAUGAAUAAGCAUCGGCUAACUCCGUGCCAGCCGCGGC
This 499-nucleotide ribosomal RNA is filed under the name uncultured bacterium. Its description in RNAcentral is "bacterial SSU rRNA". It matches the Rfam family "Bacterial small subunit ribosomal RNA", at positions 29 to 518 of the family's 1533-position model. The record is from RNAcentral.